Long non-coding RNA from Dermochelys coriacea (leatherback sea turtle), 652 nucleotides. RefSeq lists it as uncharacterized. The record is from RefSeq and is a predicted model, not a curated record. The transcript has 3 exons. NCBI's taxonomy places the organism in Eukaryota, Metazoa, Chordata, Testudines, Dermochelyidae.
AAAGAGUCAGUUAAAGCCAUUAGGCUAAUGAGAACACCUGACUCCAAUUAAGCUGCAAAGAGUCAGGUGAGGCCGUUAAGCCAAUGUGAACACCUGACUGUAAUUAAGGCCACUCUGAUACUAUAAAAGGGCUCACUCCAGUCAGGCCAAAGAGAACCAGGGAGCCUGAGGAGAGGAAGUGUGGCUGAAGGCCUGGGUAAUGAAGACACCCUCAAGCCACUGGAAAGGGAGCCCUAAGUACAGGGUGUCAAAAAAUGAAGAAUAUCUGUCCGUGUUGGAGGAGAAAGGGGCCAUCUGGAGGACAGCAAGUCAAUGGCUGAGUGGGAUCGCACACUUGUGAAGGGAUCCACAAUAGCUGAUCACACUACCGAAGAAGGCUCUGUGCAGAACUGAAAAGAUGUAAUGCAGCUAGUUCAAUGCUGCACUCAGACUCACUGCUUAACUGCAUGGCUUUUGGCCCUGCACAAAGAACAUCACUGGAUAAAUAACUUCAUAGCAUGAACUGCUUGCCAAAUGCCUUUUUCCUAACUUUGUCACAAAAUAAAAUUUCUAAAUUGCAUUCACAGAGGCUAAUCUCAUUUUCCUAAACCCACAAAACUUCCAAAUCCCUUCCAGAAUAGUUGUUUCUUGAUCAUAGUUUUUCAACAGUAUA